AUUUAGCUGAUGAGUUGCAAAUAAGACGAAACACCUAUUCUGAAU
Molecule: non-coding RNA, 45 nt
Filed under: Schistosoma mansoni
Lineage: Eukaryota; Metazoa; Platyhelminthes; Trematoda; Strigeidida; Schistosomatidae
Source: RNAcentral